UAUAAUUUAAAGUAGGGCCUGCCCACUGAAAUUUUUGAAGGGCCGCAGUAUUUUGACUGUGCAAAGGUACAUAAUCAUUAGUUUUUUAAUUGAAAGCUUGUAUGAAUGGUUUGAUGAGAAAAUUACUUUCUAAAUUUAAAUUUUUAAAAACUUUAUUUUUAAGUUAAAAAGCUUAAAUGUUGUUAAAAGACGAGAAGACCCUAUAGAGUUUAAUUUAAGAAAAAUUUUUAAUUUUUAGAAUUUAAAUAUUUGAAAUUUUAAUUAAAUUUGAUUGGGGUGAUAAAAAAAUUAAAUUAACUUUUUUAUUUAAUUACAUUAAUAAAUG
This 325-nucleotide ribosomal RNA is filed under the name Harmonia conformis. RNAcentral's name for it is "partial 16S ribosomal RNA". The record is from RNAcentral. Lineage: Eukaryota; Metazoa; Arthropoda; Insecta; Coleoptera; Coccinellidae.